Long non-coding RNA from Dreissena polymorpha, 426 nucleotides. RefSeq lists it as uncharacterized. NCBI's taxonomy places the organism in Eukaryota, Metazoa, Mollusca, Bivalvia, Myida, Dreissenidae. The record is from RefSeq and is a predicted model, not a curated record. The transcript is spliced from 3 exons.
CUACACUUUAUCAACCUAUUCGACGAAAUUUGACUGUUUUUUUGGACUCUUCAUAGCUUAAUACGCUGGAACUGCUGUGAUGAGUUAGCCGCUGCAAAGUUAUCAACAAUAAUCUUCAUCGCAUGAUUGUGAAGCUCACUGGGAGAUACUCUGGAAACCAUGUCUAGAUCGCCUACUGUUACACCGUAGGUUACCUUUAUGUCUAGAUCGCCUACUGUUACACCGUAGGUUACCUUUAUGUCUAGAUCGCCUACUGUUACACCGUAGGUUACCUUUAUGUCUAGAUCGCCUACUGUUACACCGUAGGUUACCUUUAUGUCUAGAUCGCCUACUGUUACACCGUAGGUUACCUUUAUGUCUAGAUCGCCUACUGUUACUCCGUAGGUUACCUUUAUGUCUAGAUCGCCUACUGUUACACUGUAGGUU